Molecule: long non-coding RNA, 487 nt
Filed under: Brachypodium distachyon (stiff brome)
Lineage: Eukaryota; Viridiplantae; Streptophyta; Magnoliopsida; Poales; Poaceae
Description: long non-coding RNA (BDIS_LNC006007)
Source: RNAcentral
GCUCGAAGCUACCAUGGCCGUCGUUCCCCGCAUUGCGCCGCUGCUGCUCCUCGUGUCCCUCCUCUCCCUAUCUCUCCAACUCGCUCCAUCCGCCGCCUGCCCGACCUGCCCAACUCCGACACCCCCACCCCCUCCCCCACCGCGCAAGCUCAAGCCCCCGCCGCCUCCAUCCUCCGUGCCAUGCCCUCCGCCGCCGUACACCCCGACCCCGGUGACCCCGACGCCGUCGACGCCGACGGGGAAGUGCCCCGUGGACACGCUGAAGCUGGUGGCGUGCGUGGACGCGCUCAACGGGCUGGUGCACGCGGUGGUGGGGGGCGGCAGCAGCGCCAGCGAGAAGUGCUGCCCGCUGCUGUCGGGGGUGGCGGACCUGGACGCCGCGCUCUGCCUCUGCACCACCAUCAAGGCCCAGGCGCUCGACGUCAGCCUCGUGCUCCCCGUCGCCAUCACCGUGCUCGUCAACCAGUGCGGCAAGCACGUCCCAUCC